Molecule: ribosomal RNA, 488 nt
Filed under: Salmonella enterica
Lineage: Bacteria; Pseudomonadati; Pseudomonadota; Gammaproteobacteria; Enterobacterales; Enterobacteriaceae
Description: partial 23S ribosomal RNA
Rfam family: Bacterial large subunit ribosomal RNA
Source: RNAcentral
AAUCCAUAGGUUAAUGAGGCGAACCGGGGGAACUGAAACAUCUAAGUACCCCGAGGAAAAGAAAUCAACCGAGAUUCCCCCAGUAGCGGCGAGCGAACGGGGAGGAGCCCAGAGCCUGAAUCAGCAUGUGUGUUAGUGGAAGCGUCUGGAAAGGCGCGCGAUACAGGGUGACAGCCCCGUACACAAAAGCGCAUGUGUUGUGAGCUCGAUGAGUAGGGCGGGACACGUGGUAUCCUGUCUGAAUAUGGGGGGACCAUCCUCCAAGGCUAAAUACUCCUGACUGACCGAUAGUGAACCAGUACCGUGAGGGAAAGGCGAAAAGAACCCCGGCGAGGGGAGUGAAAAAGAACCUGAAACCGUGUACGUACAAGCAGUGGGAGCACAGGUUUACCUGUGUGACUGCGUACCUUUUGUAUAAUGGGUCAGCGACUUAUAUUCUGUAGCAAGGUUAACCGAAUAGGGGAGCCGGAGGGAAACCGAGUCUUAAU